CAGCUAGUUGGUGAGGUAAUGGCUCACCAAGGCGACGAUCCGUAACUGGUCUGAGAGGAUGAUCAGUCACACUGGAACUGAGACACGGUCCAGACUCCUACGGGAGGCAGCAGUGGGGAAUAUUGGACAAUGGGCGAAAGCCUGAUCCAGCCAUGCCGCGUGUGUGAAGAAGGUCUUCGGAUUGUAAAGCACUUUAAGUUGGGAGGAAGGGCAUUAACCUAAUACGUUGGUGUCUUGACGUUACCGACAGAAUAAGCACCGGCUAACUCUGUGCCAGCAGCCGCGGUAAUACAGAGGGUGCAAGCGUUAAUCGGAAUUACUGGGCGUAAAGCGCGCGUAGGUGGUUUGUUAAGUUGGAUGUGAAAUCCCCGGGCUCAACCUGGGAACUGCAUUCAAAACUGACAAGCUAGAGUAUGGUAGAGGGUGGUGGAAUUUCCUGUGUAGCGGUGAAAUGCCUAGAUAUAGGAAGGAACACCAGUGGCGAAGG
Molecule: ribosomal RNA, 487 nt
Filed under: uncultured Gammaproteobacteria bacterium
Lineage: Bacteria; Pseudomonadati; Pseudomonadota; Gammaproteobacteria
Description: SSU rRNA
Rfam family: Bacterial small subunit ribosomal RNA
Source: RNAcentral